This 425-nucleotide ribosomal RNA is filed under the name uncultured Mucilaginibacter sp. RNAcentral describes it as "bacterial SSU rRNA". It matches the Rfam family "Bacterial small subunit ribosomal RNA", at positions 354 to 776 of the family's 1533-position model. The record is from RNAcentral. Lineage: Bacteria; Pseudomonadati; Bacteroidota; Sphingobacteriia; Sphingobacteriales; Sphingobacteriaceae.
GUAAGGAAUAUUGGUCAAUGGGCGGAAGCCUGAACCAGCCAUGCCGCGUGCAGGAAGACGGCCCUACGGGUUGUAAACUGCUUUUGUACCGGAAUAAACCCUUUUAUGAAUAGAAGGCUGAAUGUACGGUAAGAAUAAGGAUCGGCUAACUCCGUGCCAGCAGCCGCGGUAAUACGGAGGAUCCGAGCGUUAUCCGGAUUUAUUGGGUUUAAAGGGUGCGUAGGCGGCCUUGUAAGUCAGGGGUGAAAGACGGUAGCUCAACUAUCGCAGUGCCUUUGAUACUGCAGGGCUUGAAUAUACUUGAGGCAGGCGGAAUGUGACAAGUAGCGGUGAAAUGCAUAGAUAUGUCACAGAACACCAAUUGCGAAGGCAGCUUGCUAAGGUAAGAUUGACGCUGAGGCACGAAAGCGUGGGGAUCAAACAGG